This 1110-nucleotide unclassified non-coding RNA is filed under the name Hevea brasiliensis (rubber tree). Lineage: Eukaryota; Viridiplantae; Streptophyta; Magnoliopsida; Malpighiales; Euphorbiaceae. The record is from RNAcentral.
GGAAGUUGUGGGAACAAUGAGCCUUCUAGCCCAAGCUCCCGCCGGAGCUUUAUCGGCGACUCAUCGUUGUUCCCUCACAUUCACCCAUCCAAUUCCUCCUCUAUUCUCCCAUCGUCGGCCCACUCAAAUUUCCACUAAAAACCCAAUUCACGGCUCAAAAAAUGGACAAAAACCCAUCACUCUAGCUAAUGCAGAGUCUUCUUCUUCCGGCGCCGGUGUACCUCGUGAAGCUUCGACUGCUACUACUAGUACUGUUGGAUCGUCUAAUUCUAGUAAUGGGUCAGCUUCUUUUAGCACAGAGGAUUCAAUUUCCUUCGUAGGUCAAGAUAGUGUUCCUCUGGAAGGUGUUAUUCAGUUUGAGAAACCUGAUUCUAAUUCAAUUAGUGAUAAAAUUAAUAAAUGGGGCUGGGUGGCGUUGUUAGCUGGUGGAGAUGUUGCGGUUUUGUUGUUAUUCUCUGCAAUUGGAAGGUUUAGUCAUGGAUUCGCUGUUUUUGACUCCGAAACACUGCGAACUGCUGACCCCUUCAUUGCUGGUUGGUUGUUGAGUGCGUAUUUCCUUGGAGGAUUUGGCGAGGAUGGUAAAGGAAAGAAUGGUCUGUUUAAGGCUUUCAUUGCUGCUACUAAAUCAUGGUCAUUAGGCAUUCCGCUGGGUAUAGCUAUAAGGGCUGCCUCUGUGGGUCAUAUACCACCAGUCAACUUCAUAAUAGUUACCAUGGGGAGUACUGCUGUACUACUCAUUGGAUGGAGGACCCUCUUGUUCAGCAUUUUACCAACGGACAAGCCGAAGAAGAAUGAUGUUUAUAAGAGCGGAAACCCUUUUGAAUUUCUUGAGUUGUUGACAUCAUUGGUAAGAAGAUGGUGAUUGUGGUAGCAGUGCAUGUGACGUGGUAUUAUUGAUUAAAUUCUAACGGGAAAUUUUCCAGUAUGUACAUGUCCUUUCUCAUUAUAAGUAGAUCAAUGUAGUUUGUUCUUCUGAAUAACAGUGGAAGAAAAUACAGUUUCCAUCCAUUCCUCUUUAAACUACAGGUUACUUGGAUAGUGUUUGGCCAUACAUCCCAAAUACUUUUGAGAAAUCAGAUUAUAUUGGUUCAUGAAAAUGUGGCAUAUACU